GUCAAUUGGAGUCCAGAAACCAAUCAAACGGGGUGCAACUGAAAAACCUUACGAGUAGGACCCAA
Robiginitalea biformata HTCC2501 is the source of this 65-nucleotide regulatory RNA element. It matches the Rfam family "DUF805 RNA". The record is from Rfam. Lineage: Bacteria; Pseudomonadati; Bacteroidota; Flavobacteriia; Flavobacteriales; Flavobacteriaceae.